CAGUCGCCACGGGAAUACGAAGGGGGCUAGCGUUACUCGGAAUUACUGGGCGUAAAGGGCGCGUAGGCGGCACGAUUAGUCAGGCGUGAAAUUCCUGGGCUCAACCUGGGGACUGCGCUUGAUACGGUCGAGCUAGAGGAUGGAAGAGGGUCGUGGAAUUCCCAGUGUAGAGGUGAAAUUCGUAGAUAUUGGGAAGAACACCAGUGGCGAAGGCGACUCUCUGGUCUGUAACUGACGCUGAGGAGCGAAAGCGUGGGGAGCGAACAGGAUUAGAUACCCCUGUAGUCCCUGUCUCUUAUAC
Molecule: ribosomal RNA, 301 nt
Filed under: uncultured bacterium
Lineage: Bacteria
Description: partial 16S ribosomal RNA
Rfam family: Bacterial small subunit ribosomal RNA
Source: RNAcentral